Molecule: ribosomal RNA, 261 nt
Filed under: uncultured archaeon
Lineage: Archaea
Description: partial 16S ribosomal RNA
Rfam family: Archaeal small subunit ribosomal RNA
Source: RNAcentral
CAGCCGUAAACAAUGUGCGUUAGGUGUGUCGGUAACCACGCGUUACUGAUGCGCCGAAGAGAAAUCGUGAAACGCACCACCUGGGAAGUACGGUCGCAAGGCUGAAACUUAAAGGAAUUGGCGGGGGGAGCACCACAACAGGUGGAGCCUGCGGUUUAAUUGGAUUCAACGCCGGACAUCUCACCGGAUAAGACAGCUGAAUGAUUGUCAAUCUGAAGGUUUACAUGACUAGCUGAGAGGUGGUGCAUGGCGUCAGUGACU